This 275-nucleotide ribosomal RNA is filed under the name uncultured bacterium. RNAcentral describes it as "partial 16S ribosomal RNA". It matches the Rfam family "Bacterial small subunit ribosomal RNA", at positions 338 to 630 of the family's 1533-position model. The record is from RNAcentral.
CCUACGGGUGGCUGCAGUAACGAAUCUUCCGCAAUGCACGAAAGUGUGACGGAGCGACGCCGCGUGUGGGACGAAGUUCUUCGGAAUGUAAACCACUGUCAGGAGAAAGAAAGUUCUGAUCUACUCCAGAGGAAGGGACGGCUAACUCUGUGCCAGCAGCCGCGGUAAGACAGAGGUCCCGAGCGUUAGACGGAAUCACUGGGCUUAAAGCGUGUGUAGGCGGAAGGGUAAGUACCUUGUGAAAUCCCACGGCUCAACCGUGGAACUGCUUGGUA